GUGGCUCUGGGAUGUGCGUGUGCGAUGCCAUUUAGAAACUCCGCUCAAUCUGAGCCCUCGGGAUCUGUCCCUUAUCGUGAUGUGCAGAUCGGUCAUUGCGUAUCGGAAGCCUAAAGCGAUAACACGGAGCCCACCUGUAAACAGGUCAGCGGGGUUCACCGGCAUCAUGCUACGGCAUUCUGGAGUUUUU
RNAcentral lists this non-coding RNA (190 nucleotides) under Pseudomonadota bacterium. Its description in RNAcentral is "Proteobacteria bacterium 6S RNA". It matches the Rfam family "6S / SsrS RNA". Rfam says of the family: E. coli 6S RNA was the first non coding RNA to be sequenced, but its function was unknown until recently. It consists of 184 nucleotides that fold into an extended hairpin structure with a large single-stranded internal bulge. RNAcentral also lists the same sequence under 1 other name. The record is from RNAcentral. Lineage: Bacteria; Pseudomonadati; Pseudomonadota.